GAUAGUGUAGCUCAGUGGUAGAGCUCAUGCCUAGCAUGCAUGAGUUCCUGGGCUCAAUCCCCAGUACCUCCA
This 72-nucleotide transfer RNA is filed under the name Camelus bactrianus (Bactrian camel). It matches the Rfam family "tRNA". Rfam says of the family: Transfer RNA (tRNA) molecules are approximately 80 nucleotides in length. Their secondary structure includes four short double-helical elements and three loops (D, anti-codon, and T loops). Lineage: Eukaryota; Metazoa; Chordata; Mammalia; Artiodactyla; Camelidae. RNAcentral also lists the same sequence under 1 other name. The record is from Rfam by way of RNAcentral.